This is a long non-coding RNA of Zootermopsis nevadensis, 1009 nucleotides long. RefSeq lists it as uncharacterized. The record is from RefSeq and is a predicted model, not a curated record. NCBI's taxonomy places the organism in Eukaryota, Metazoa, Arthropoda, Insecta, Blattodea, Termopsidae.
AUUUCAGAGAUAAAUCCUACUCAAACUAUUGUUGUAUAAGUUGUCUAGAAAAUCGUUCUCAUUAUUUGAACAGAAUACAUUACUGUACUUUGUGAAAGUGCACUCUUUUUGUUUUUAAAAAUGGCAGUAGGAAUUCUUUGUACAUAAGGGGUUAAAAUUACCACAACGGAAAGGCAGCAUACGAAAUUAUUAUUUAUUUUAAAGUUAGUAUUUUAAUUCAGCAUAAAUUAAUAACUUUUUGUACUGCCUGCAAAAACAUUUGUUGGUCCACGCUCAAUAGGGGAUAUGAAAGAGGUUGGGUUUGGAGACUGUUGGUGUCGUAUUUGUUACAGGAAAUGCAAAGUGCGCAGCAGUUCAGUUUUCAUACAAAAUACCACAAACGGUACGACUUUGUGUUCCAAAAAUCUUCCAAUAGAUGUUAUAACAAUGUAUUUAUAUUUGUACUAGAAACAAGUAUUAUAUUUGUGCUGUGACCUGUUCUACAUGCAUGGCUUAGGCCUAUGAAGGAUCUAUGGAAUAUUAGAAAUGCUCUGGUGUUCAUAAGAAAUAGUUUUAAAAGGGCAGUGAUUUGAGUCCCGUGUUUAUAUUCGGAUUAGUUUGGAUUUUACAACGUUUAAUCUGAUGAAAGACUCUCGGGCAACGAGCCACGUCAGGUGGCUCAAUGGUUUCGUUUUGCAGCCGCCCCGAGGAUUAGAGCAGAGAUGGCUCUCGAAACGGCAGAAGAAAUGGUUCAUUCACCAUUCAUGUGAUAAGGGAAGCAGGUUUUUCGCUAACUUCAGUUGUUUUGCCACGUAGCAGUAGUGCGACUCACGAGUAAUGAUAUGGUAUUCAGUUGAUUGUUGCAGUGGCAAAAGGUGAUACAAUGAACAACAUAAAAUGUGUGUGUGUGUGUGAGAUAGAAAAAAUAUCAGUGCAUUUAUAAUUACCAGCUGUAAGAAUAUUAGGAAAUGAUGUUACAGAUCGUGCACGGAAGAAAGUUUCUAAAGAAAUUAAAGAUAUAAGCAUGUGA